GUGUCAGCCGCCGCGGUAAUACGGAGGAGGCAAGCGUUAUCCGGAAUUAUUGGGCGUAAAGCGUCCGCAGGUGGCUCGCUCAAGUCUGCUGUCAAAGACCGGGGCUUAACUCCGGAAAGGCAGUGGAAACUGACAAGCUAGAGGGCUCUAGGGGUAGAGGGAAUUCCCGGUGUAGCGGUGAAAUGCGUAGAGAUUGGGAAGAACACCGGUGGCGAAAGCGCUCUGCUAGGCCGAAACUGACACUGAGGGACGAAAGCUAGGGGAGCGAAUGGGAUUAGAUACCCCAGUAGUCCUAGCUGUAAACGAUGGAUACUAGGCGUUGCUUGUAUCGACCCAAGCAGUGCCGUAGCUAACGCGUUAAGUAUCCCGCCUGGGGAGUACGCACGCAAGUGUGAAACUUAAAGGAAUUGACGGGG
RNAcentral lists this ribosomal RNA (416 nucleotides) under uncultured prokaryote. RNAcentral's name for it is "bacterial SSU rRNA". It matches the Rfam family "Bacterial small subunit ribosomal RNA", at positions 505 to 918 of the family's 1533-position model. The record is from RNAcentral.